AGGCUUAACACAUGCAAGUCGAGCGCCCCGCAAGGGGAGCGGCAGACGGGUGAGUAACGCGUGGGAGUCUCCCCUUGACUACGGAAUAACGCAGGGAAACUUGUGCUAAUACCGUAUGUGUCCUUCGGGAGAAAGAUUUAUCGGUCAAGGAUGAGCCCGCGUUGGAUUAGCUAGUUGGUGGGGUAAAGGCCUACCAAGGCGACGAUCCAUAGCUGGUCUGAGAGGAUGAUCAGCCACAUUGGGACUGAGACACGGCCCAA
RNAcentral lists this ribosomal RNA (260 nucleotides) under Rhizobium leguminosarum. RNAcentral's name for it is "partial 16S ribosomal RNA". It matches the Rfam family "Bacterial small subunit ribosomal RNA", at positions 46 to 334 of the family's 1533-position model. Lineage: Bacteria; Pseudomonadati; Pseudomonadota; Alphaproteobacteria; Hyphomicrobiales; Rhizobiaceae. The record is from RNAcentral.